CACAAGUGAAAGAAUUUGUGUUGAAUUUUAAAACCAGGUAAUGAACUGCUCCUACUGGAAUUCCUCACUGUCCAUUCAGUGCAUUGAAAUGCUCUGUCCCUCUCCUCUCUUCUUUUUUUAACAUAUCUUUGUUCUUGUCUUCUUGGUCCUCCUGCUCCCCAGGGUGCCCCUCUGCUCGAAUGCCGCUGCUGUCACUGUCACACCUGUACCACCCACCGUCCUUCCUUCCUCCCGUUGCACUCUGUUAGCCCUGGAGUCCAGAUCGACCCCCUGGAGAUGGACGCCGACAUGCACUCCCUGGGCAGCACCACCUGGCUCUUGGACCAGCGGGACUCCAACAGGCGCCCCGUCAGCACCAAGUACGAGACCACCAUAUUCUGAGGCCGGAUCCCCACAGCCGCCCCUCUGCACCCCCCCUCAGUACUUUCCUGCCCCCCUCUACUCUGCAUCCGGUUCUCUAUUUAUCUCUCUCACACACAAACACUCACACAUAUAUACAUGUGAGCCCCGUGCCUUCUCACUGUGAUGGUAUAGCAUCCCUCAGGGCUGCCUACUCCUGCACCCUCCUUUGCCCUGCCCCAGCGACCCACACCAACCUCCUACCUGCCAUGACAAACACUCCUGCGGCUCCCCCGUGCCUCCCCCAACACCCCCCGGCAGCCUCCCUCGCCUGUUGCUGCUGCAGCCAAUGGCGGAGCCCUGGAACGGAUGAUCCCGGACUGAUCUCAUUUUACAGUGGCCCUGCUCUCUCAACCAAACUGCCUCUUCCUCCUCAUCCUCCUCUUCCUGACAACUUGCAUCUGCCUCCAAAUCCCCCGAUAGCUCCCAGAGCCUGUCCUGUCUUACCAGGCAUCUACCACUGUGAGGCACUAUGAGGAGGCUGCUUUGCUAGCAUGGGAUGCAAGAAGGACAAUUAAUCAAUGAAAGACAAAACAGCAACAUGCAGCAAACAACCUUUUUUUCUACGCAUUUGUACAGUACUCAUAGUAAGACCACAAUGGAUCGGUCACAAAUCUAAUCACUGAUGUCUGAACUCUAAACGGACCAAGAACUGAGACCUCGUACACUCACACACUGGAGGACAACUUUCCUACACUUUACUGAGGACAAUAGCCCUACUUCAUUUCGGUUAUCUGUAAUCAACUAAAAAAAGAAAAAAAAACACCUUCCCGUGACCUCUUCUGAACACAAACACCCAACAACUGCACGCCUCCACCCUGCUUCUAAAAGACUUUUUAAAAAAGAGAGAGAAACACUUUUGAUUUCCUGGUGUAUUAAGUUGACUGUGACUGGCUGGAUGACGUUGUUCUAAAGAUGGUACAGGUUUGUCAGGAUGAGUCUUUGCUCUGGCCUUGUACUGCCCAGUGCCUCUCAGCAUUCAUGGUAGCACUGAGAGCCUGCAAAUCACAUCUUCUUGUCAAUUUAAAGAAAAAAAAAGAAACACUGUGUUAAAAAAAAAAUGGCACUAUCCCUUUUAAAACCUUUUCUUUUCUUAUGGUGCAAACGGGACAUUAGUGCAUUUUGUGAUACUUUUUGAUAGACGGGGCAAACUGAAACACUUUGGGACAGAAUGAGAAGGGAUCAUGAAGUAUCCCGACAUUAUUACAACCAGAGGCAAAAAAGCAAAGAAAACAAUAAAAGGUGUACUGGCAUUGGUUUCACAUUUCACAAUUUUGGUAAUAUAAACCUAAAAAAAAAAAACACUUUCAAAGAGAUUUAAUUUAACUUGAGUGUUUUAAUGAGCCCUGAGCACAAUUUAGUGCACCUUUCCCUACAUAGCAUCUUAUUAUCAUGAUUACAUGGGUAGGUAUCCAUGCUGUUUCGCACCAAUUUAGAAUUAGGUACAGUACACGCAAAGUAUGUCACUUGAAAAUAAACAGCGGUGAAAAGAUUUAAUUCCACUACAUUAAAAGAGCCAAAUCUAAACGUUGCUCUGGUGUCGUAUUAAUGCGAAUGGAUUUGUUAUGCUGAGAACAUGACACCAUUUUUUUUUUUUUUUUUUUGUAAAGGAUUUUCCUUCUGCACUGUGAUUAAAAAAAUACUCGCCGUGGAGUGGACACAUAUCUGUGGGUUCUCCCCUCUGUGUGCACUAGCUACCGUGCGUGCUGUACGCCUUCUUCCUGUCUGUCCUCAUGGGAGUUUGGACUGUUACUGUUACAUCACUGGCCACUGUCCUUGUUUCUGUGUGCUGCAGGAGAAGUGAGGGAUUGAGCUCCUCUCCAGAAGAGUGUGUCUGGAGACUGUUAAGAUGUAACUGGUCUGUGUGCGGUACCGUGGCUGUGUCGUUGCCACUCUGUUCUGUUAACUGUUAGCUUCCACUGACGAUGCAUGUUGGCAGUGUUUUUUGUGUUCUGUACCCUUUGAUGCACUUGGCCUGAGCAGUCUUUGUAUGUACUGUAGCAGUGUCUCGUCUCCUCUCAUUCAUCUGCCAUUCGCUUUUUAUGUUCCCUCCCCUCUUCGUUACAUGCCAAUACAAGCGAUUCAUCCCCAUCCCGACAUUUUGCCAUUGUCGUCAUUCCUCCAACAUUUUUGUCACGUAUGUUCUUCCAUUUUGUGUGUCACCAAGACAACCUGCUCUAGAAUGGAUGCAUAAUAUAAAAGCAUUACACUUUAAUGAGCAGCAGCUAUUUAAAGCAAGUUUUGGUGGCAUGAUAUGGCUGUGCAUGUACCAGUCUUUUUAACAUUGGUGUUUUCCCUGUGUAG
Long non-coding RNA from Amphiprion ocellaris (clown anemonefish), 2703 nucleotides. NCBI's taxonomy places the organism in Eukaryota, Metazoa, Chordata, Actinopteri, Pomacentridae. The record is from Ensembl.